RNAcentral lists this unclassified non-coding RNA (220 nucleotides) under plant metagenome. Its description in RNAcentral is "partial contains small subunit ribosomal RNA, internal transcribed spacer 1, and 5.8S ribosomal RNA". The record is from RNAcentral.
UUUCCGUAGGUGAACCUGCGGAAGGAUCAUUACAGAGUUCAUGCCCUCACGGGUAGAUCUCCCACCCUUGAAUAUUUAUACCUUAGUUGCUUUGGCAGGCCGUGGAAACACCAUGGGCUCCGGCUUAUGCGUGCCUGCCAGAGGAAACAAACUCUGUUUUUAGUGAUGUCUGAGUACUAUAUAAUAGUUAAAACUUUCAACAACGGAUCUCUCGGUUCUG